GACGAACCGUGCGAACGUUAUUCGGAAUCACUGGGCUUAAAGGGCGCGUAGGCGGAUGUGUAAGUCCGCGGUGAAAUCCUCCGGCUUAACCGGAGAAGUGCCGCGGGUACUGUUCAUCUGGAGUCGGGUAGGGGCGUGUGGAACCAUGGGUGGAGCGGUGAAAUGCGUUGAGAUCCAUGGGAACUCCGGUGGCGAAGGCGACACGCUGGACCCGUACUGACGCUGAGGCGCGAAAGCCAGGGGAGCGAACGGG
This 253-nucleotide ribosomal RNA is filed under the name uncultured bacterium. RNAcentral's name for it is "partial 16S ribosomal RNA". It matches the Rfam family "Bacterial small subunit ribosomal RNA", at positions 524 to 776 of the family's 1533-position model. The record is from RNAcentral.